ACAUGCUAUCUAUGUUCUUGAGAUAGUACCUGGUUCUCCUGCCAGUAUAGAAGGCAGUUUGCAACCACACGACCAGAUUGUCUACAUUUGUGGGUUGCGGACUGAGGGCAUCAACCUGGAUGAAGCCAUAAGAGCAAUUGAAGCUGCAAGCCAGUAUGUCCACAUCAAAGCAACAAGAAAUGGCAAUCCAGUGGUUCCCAUAGAGCAGCAAAAUACCAAACACUCAGAGGAAGAUAGUUGCUGUGCUGAACAAAGUACAUUGGAAUUAGCAA
Molecule: long non-coding RNA, 272 nt
Filed under: Crocodylus porosus (Australian saltwater crocodile)
Lineage: Eukaryota; Metazoa; Chordata; Crocodylia; Crocodylidae
Description: lncRNA (ENSCPRG00005000321.1)
Source: RNAcentral